RNAcentral lists this small nucleolar RNA (83 nucleotides) under Ogataea polymorpha. The record is from RNAcentral. RNAcentral also lists the same sequence under 1 other name. Lineage: Eukaryota; Fungi; Ascomycota; Pichiomycetes; Pichiales; Pichiaceae.
AUUCUAUGAUGAAUACUACUUCAGUUCUGCUUCUGAACAAGUCUGAAGACAACACAGUUUACCAAAGCUCAAGUUUCUGACGA